GUUAUUGUAGCUUACACUCCUCAAGCAUGGCACUGAAGAUGCCAAGAUAGAUCAAAGAAUCUCAUUAACA
RNAcentral lists this transfer RNA (70 nucleotides) under Pelusios castaneus (West African mud turtle). RNAcentral describes it as "tRNA-Phe". The record is from RNAcentral. Lineage: Eukaryota; Metazoa; Chordata; Testudines; Pelomedusidae.